RNAcentral lists this unclassified non-coding RNA (215 nucleotides) under Hevea brasiliensis (rubber tree). The record is from RNAcentral. Lineage: Eukaryota; Viridiplantae; Streptophyta; Magnoliopsida; Malpighiales; Euphorbiaceae.
GAACAAGCACCGAACUUAGAAACCAAGAGCUUCGCCGAGUUUUGUUCUGCUCCGCCACCAUGUGACCUUCUGCAAUCCCACCUCUCUCUCCGUCUGAUUCUCUGUCUCUCUGUUUUUUUGUUUUAGUUUUCUUCCUUUUUUUUAUUCUUGAAAUAACCAGAACUGAACAGAAGAAAAAGAUUCAACAAGAAAGCAACAACAUUAUCCGGUCUUUG